CUGCGAAUGGCUCAUUAAAUCAGUUAUCGUUUAUUUGAUAGUACCCUACUACAUGGAUACCUGUGGUAAUUCUAGAGCUAAUACAUGCGCAAAACCCCGACUUCGGAAGGGGUGUAUUUAUUAGAUAAAAAACCAAUGCCCUUCGGGGCUCCUUGGUGAUUCAUAAUAACUUCACGAAUCGCAUGGCCUUGCGCCGGCGAUGGUUCAUUCAAAUUUCUGCCCUAUCAACUUUCGAUGGUAGGAUAGUGGCCUACCAUGGUGGCAACGGGUAACGGGGAAUUAGGGUUCGAUUCCGGAGAGGGAGCCUGAGAAACGGCUACCACAUCCAAGGAAGGCAGCAGGCGCGCAAAUUACCCAAUCCCGAUACGGGGAGGUAGUGACAAUAAAUACUGAUACAGGGCUCUUUUGGGUCUUGUAAUUGGAAUGAGAACAAUCUAAAUCCCUUAACGAGGAACAAUUGGAGGGCAAGUCUGGUGCCAGCAGCCGCGGUAAUUCCAGCUCCAAUAGCGUAUAUUAAAGUUGUUGCAGUUAAAAAGCUCGUAGUUGAACCUUGGGCCCGUCCUGCCGGUCCGCCUCACCGCGAGUACUGGUCCGGAUGGGCCUUUCUUUCUGGGGAAUCCCAUGGCCUUCACUGGCUGUGGCGGGGAACCAGGACUUUUACUGUGAAAAAAUUAGAGUGUUCAAAGCAGGCCUUUGCUCGGAUACAUUAGCAUGGAAUAAUAGAAUAGGACGUGCGGUUCUAUUUUGUUGGUUUCUAGGACCGCCGUAAUGAUUAAUAGGGAUAGUCGGGGGCGUCAGUAUUCAGCUGUCAGAGGUGAAAUUCUUGGAUUUGCUGAAGACUAACUACUGCGAAAGCAUUCGCCAAGGAUGUUUUCAUUAAUCAGGGAACGAAAGUUAGGGGAUCGAAGACGAUCAGAUACCGUCGUAGUCUUAACCAUAAACUAUGCCGACUAGGGAUCGGGCGGGGUUUCUAUGAUGACCCGCUCGGCACCUUACGAGAAAUCAAAGUUUUUGGG
RNAcentral lists this ribosomal RNA (1016 nucleotides) under Talaromyces sp. RNAcentral describes it as "SSU rRNA". It matches the Rfam family "Eukaryotic small subunit ribosomal RNA", at positions 87 to 1111 of the family's 1831-position model. The record is from RNAcentral. Lineage: Eukaryota; Fungi; Ascomycota; Eurotiomycetes; Eurotiales; Trichocomaceae.